This 274-nucleotide small RNA is filed under the name Piliocolobus tephrosceles (Ugandan red Colobus). RNAcentral describes it as "7SK RNA (ENSPTEG00000001927.1)". Lineage: Eukaryota; Metazoa; Chordata; Mammalia; Primates; Cercopithecidae. The record is from RNAcentral.
GGAUGUGACACUCCCUUUCAAGCCUCCAAGGGCACUCUUCCUGAAACUGCCUCUGUGGUUGAGGAGGAUCACCUUCUCAGAGAGAGGAGAAUAGUUCUUUGACCAAGAGCAUUCAAGGAGCUGAAAUUUCCUGCUAGAACCUUUAGAACCCUUAGUCCGCAGUCAGGAGGGUUCUUGUGAUCUUGGACUAAGAACAAACUUGCUUAACCAGAUAUGAAAAUAAAACAGUAUGAGGUAAAAAUGAGUUAAUUAAUUUUGCUGUAUUUUAAAUUUU